This 439-nucleotide long non-coding RNA is filed under the name Gallus gallus (chicken). RNAcentral's name for it is "lncRNA (ENSGALG00010026289.1)". Lineage: Eukaryota; Metazoa; Chordata; Aves; Galliformes; Phasianidae. The record is from RNAcentral.
UUUUCAGUUGUGCAAGGAGCAAAUACCGGUAAGACGUAAAUCCUCCAGCAGUGCCCAGGUCGUUUGGACGGCGCAAGCACAGGAAAUCAGGAAAUUGUUGCUGCUCAGCAUUCGGCUGCAAAAAUACCGUUCUUGAGGAGAGCUGAAGAAAGAAGGGGACUGCAGGAAUUCACAGUCCAAAAUGAUGACCAAGCCUUCCCUGUGAGGGCCUUGACUUCUGCCAUCCCACCCCUGUGGCGGUGGUUCUCCAUGGAAGACCAACAGCAUCUCCCACAUCUUUCCUUUUGCUCUGAAGGACAACAGGUAGCUUGCUCCUUGAGCAGUCAGCUUGCUCUUGACGCGAUUGCUCUUGGACAAUCAUCUGAGGGCCGCUAAUGUCCUGCAAAUUGCAUCUUUCACAUUUUGCAGCAUAUCCCCUUACGGUUCCUCAUGCCCUUGG